Molecule: long non-coding RNA, 1582 nt
Organism: Passer domesticus (house sparrow)
Lineage: Eukaryota; Metazoa; Chordata; Aves; Passeriformes; Passeridae
Exons: 2
Source: RefSeq, a predicted model, not a curated record
AGCCAUCUGUCAAAAGUCUGGAGUAUAUGUGAAAUUGCUAGUCUACAGGAUUUGAGAAGGGAUAUGUUCUUUAAAAGGUGAAUCAUUAGGGUUCACCUGUUUCAAAAAUUAGGCUAAUACUUAAUGUAAAUUAUUUUGCACCUUUGCAAUGAGACAUGUUUGAAAUGCAAAGUAGUGCAAGAAAAUAUUGGGAUGUUUCAAAAUGCUUGAGGCUUGAACAAUGACUUCGGACCAGCCUUUGUGAGUAUGUCCAUUCUCCCUAGUAAUUCCCAAACCCACUGGUCAAAUCUGAAUUAAAGGGCUAGAUAUUUCCAGAAUUACAUGUUUUCAUAAGUGUCAUGAAACUAGGCCUAUGCAGCAAACAGUAGCCUUACCUGUAAUCCCUGUAUAGCAAAAGCUGCAGUGUGAGCUCACCCUUCAUUAGUCACAGGAGAAUCCGAAUGGAUGAGAGUGGCUUUUUCCCCUCAGGGUGGAAAAAGCUUCAGUCAAAAUUCACACUUCAUUAGAUACUGGAUAAUCGGAGCAUGAGGCUCCAAUCCAUAGGCCUCAUUAGUUCUCUUUCAUUAUUAAAUUAUUAACAGUUUCCCUGACAAAGCAGAACAAAGCAGCUGCCUUUGGACAGAUAUAGAAGAGUACAAUUUAUACUGCAGCUUAUGGAGGACAUUCAGAUCCGUACAUUUCCAUGAUCGGGGAGGUAACUCAGGUUUCUGGGCUGAUGCAGAAACUGCUGGAAAUAUCCAAAGAAAUCAAAUCUUUUCUGAGGUCAAAGCUGUAUUUAAGAUUUGCAAAUGAUCCCAAAGGCAACAAGAAGAGCUUCUGCCACAACUCCAAGAGUAAAAGACUGAAAACAGGAAACGUGGUUUUGUUCCUGAAUGGGGCAAAUGAUGUGGCAGUGGAAACAGAUGAGGUUGUAGCACUCAGAGCCCCUGUUGCCUCAUGCAUGUCGUCAAAGUCUCCAAGGUCUCUGUGCUUAGAAUUCAUGGAGAGCUGCCAGCAAUGGGUGAGGAUCAGUGCAGGGAUUGCAUGGGAGAAUUUGACCCAUAAACAUUCAUGGGAUCAACAGAGCUGUAUCCAAGCUGUUGAAGGAGCUGUCUGGUUUCACUGCAAGACUGCGCUCUUUUCUUUGAAAGAUAGUGGAGACUGUCACACAACACAACCAUUGGAGUGUUCUCCAAUGACUCUUGAAAAAAAGCCCAAAGGAAAACUGUUAGCUGAUCGGCCUCACUGCAGUCUAUGUGGAAAUCCACGUCCUCUUGGAACACUUUUCUGAACACAGGAAAGAGGAGGUGAUCGGGAACAGCCAGUGUGCCUCACCAGCCCGAUUGUCUUCUAUAGCAAAAUGACUGGAUUUGUAGAUGAGGAAGAGCAGAGGAUGUGAAAGUCUCUUCUUCCAAACAUUCUCCCUGAAGACAAACUUUGGAGGACUCGUUUUCCCAAGCCUCACUGUGGCCUCUAGCCUGAGGACUAGAUCAAAGGAAAAGAAAGCUACAGAUGGAUGAGUUGUCAUUUUACCUGACCUGGAAAUCUUAAAAUGUACCGUAAGUGCUGAAUUCAUGAGUGAAUAAAGAAGAGAAAAAUGGGA